Molecule: ribosomal RNA, 468 nt
Filed under: uncultured bacterium
Lineage: Bacteria
Description: partial 16S ribosomal RNA
Rfam family: Bacterial small subunit ribosomal RNA
Source: RNAcentral
GACGAACGCUGGCGGCGUGCUUAACACAUGCAAGUCGAACGGAAAGGCCCUGCUUUUGUGGGGUGCUCGAGUGGCGAACGGGUGAGUAACACGUGAGUAACCUGCCCUUGACUUUGGGAUAACUUCAGGAAACUGGGGCUAAUACCGGAUAGGAGCUCCUGCUGCAUGGUGGGGGUUGGAAAGUUUCGGCGGUUGGGGAUGGACUCGCGGCUUAUCAGCUUGUUGGUGGGGUAGUGGCUUACCAAGGCUUUGACGGGUCGCCGGCCUGAGAGGGUGACCGGCCACAUUGGGACUGAGAUACGGCCCAGACUCCUACGGGAGGCAGCAGUGGGGAAUAGUGCACAAUGGGCGGAAGCCUGAUGCAGCAUCGCCGCGUGCGGGAUGACGGCCUUCGGGUUGUAAACCGCUUGCGCCUGUGACGAAGCGUGAGUGACGGUAAUGGGUAAAGAGGCACCGGCUAACUACGUG